UACGAAGGGUGCAAGCGUUACUCGGAAUUACUGGGCGUAAAGCGUGCGUAGGUGGUUUGUUAAGUCUGAUGUGAAAGCCCUGGGCUCAACCUGGGAAUUGCAUUGGAUACUGGCAGGCUAGAGUGCGGUAGAGGAUGGCGGAAUUCCCGGUGUAGCAGUGAAAUGCGUAGAGAUCGGGAGGAACAUCAGUGGCGAAGGCGGCCUGCUGGGCUGUUGCUGACGCUGAGGCGCGACAGCGUGGGGAGCAAACAGG
RNAcentral lists this ribosomal RNA (253 nucleotides) under uncultured bacterium. Its description in RNAcentral is "partial 16S ribosomal RNA". It matches the Rfam family "Bacterial small subunit ribosomal RNA", at positions 524 to 776 of the family's 1533-position model. The record is from RNAcentral.